UUUCCUAGAAUAUAUUUAAGUAAAGCAAAACAGCACAGUUGCACAUAGUGUGAUUAUGCAGCAAGAAUGUGAUUGAGUCACUUAAAUAAUGCCACACUCCAAUACACGGUUACAAAAUAGAUGCAUCAUUAACAGUGAUGGUAAAUCUACACCUUUAUACAUCAGUCAUUGAGCACAUAGCUCCAGUACACUAGCUAACAACUUGCAGAUGCCCGGCCCCAACACAUAAUACCUCCAGUACACUAGCUAACAACUUGAAAAAGUCCGGCGCCAAUAGCUAAUAGCUCCACUACACUAGCCAAGAACAUACUAAUGCAAUACUAUUAGUCCUAAAAACUUGCAGAGGUCGGUAGGGCCAACAAGCAACCUAAAACAAAAAAAAUUAAUUGGUCAAGCAGUAGGAAAACUCGCAAGAAUUUAUACCUAAUUUUUAAUUCUAAUCUAUGAAUAUAGAUAUAUCCAGUGCAUGUUGUAUUUAUUAGCAAGCAAAAUUUUAGAACUAUUCUCAAAACUAAGUCCAGAGGAAUGUACAGUGAUCAUGUUUGCUGCACUUCCUUGUUCUUGUUCUUCUCUUUCUGUCUUCACUUUCCACCCUUAUCCUUAUAUCCCUUUAGUCCAUUUAUUCUACCUCAUGAUGUGCAUAAGCUUCAUAGAAAUCCUUGGCUGCGCUCAAAUCUGUAAAAGUCAUCCCUAUGGCUGGCCUGAUGUCAUCAUCACACUCCGGAGUACAAGAUGAGCCGUGAAAUGUGGACGAAAAGCACAAUGGUUUAACAUGCUGGAAUACAAGAAAUUAUAAGCAUGCACACAUUAGUUAGACAAGUACUUACACAGAAAGGUGCACUAUACAAUUUUUGUGGUGUGGCAAAUACAAUUUUCGGACUUGGUCUAGUGUGGAUGGCUUAUUCUGCAUCAAACUGGGAGUUGCAAAUAGCCAAAGGUGGAAACUUGCUCACUUCACUGUGGCAUUUCAUAAUUACUUCACAAAGAGAAGAAAUACAGUUUGUAAGUCGAAAGCACACCGUCAUAGGAGCCAGCCAAUAUGUGCUUUCCGGAAUAGCAUAGAAUAAAAUAAACUGCUAGAAAGAACAUUCAAGUGUUAGAAGUACCUAAUAUCAGCUCACUUCACCAAUCAAUUGCAAUAUAAAUUAAAACUGACAGCUAAAAUCAUUUCUACAUUUUUUCUAUGCUCAACCAGUUUCAACUCCUUUCUUAUGCCCAACGUACUACACACAAGUCUACAAGAAGUAAGGCUGAAGUUUUAGAACCUGUAGUAUUCCCAAAACCGUGGUUUUUUUGUUGUGUCUAGAAAAGAGGUCCCGGCCCAUUUUUUCUAAACCAAAUGAGACGAAACGUCAGGGAGAGAGCUGUUUAUGUCCCUAUCCACGACGAAAUAAGAAUAGAUGUGAUCUCUACCUUCGAUUUCUCCUCAUUCUGUUAUAUGGUAAAUUAGUUGUAAUAUAUCUCUUGCUUAUUAGGCAUUUUGGGUUGAUUAAAUUGUGCUCUCGGAUCCAUUUUCUUCCAGCUGUCGUCACAAUUACUUUUGAUCUAGUUGAUUGGUGAACCUUGAUCAAUCAUGUACCUCCAGGUUAGAUUAAUUAAGCAAUUUCAUGCCAGCUGUGCUGGUCAAAACCAUGGUAAAACAACAUCCAAACACCUCGAUAGUUUUGGUAAAACUGAGAAAAACUACAAUUUCAAGAACCUGUAGUAUUUCUUGCCUAGGCAUUGGAAUACUUCGGUUUUGGAUUACCACAAUUUUCUAAAAAUUGUGCUGCCAAACUAAGCCUGAUAGUUUCCUUCAUUUAACAACCAUACAGUAACAAAUAUGCCUAGAACCACCAUUAUGAUAUACAGUAUUGUCAAAUUAGCAUGAUGGGAUCUCCCUCUUGCUGCAUUAAUAUAAAACUUACUUACCCAAUGAAUUAGUCUUUACCAACUUCUUGAAGACCAAAAUCUGGACAGUAGAGUUAGGGGCAAUCUGCAGUUCCAGCCAAGAUACUACUACCUAAUUCCCUCCCCUACUCUAUUUGCUUUGCUUUGCAUACCUAGCCCAAUUAGAAGUGCUAAUCUUGGAGGAGACAACCAGAACCCACGACCUUGUCAUCUCUAUUUGCUUUGCAAACCUAGCCCAACCGAGAGAAAAAACUACUAGUUGAGCCACGAUAAGAAGAACGUGGCAAAACAUAACAUAGAAGAUGAACAAUGUAAUAGAAAGGUCCAUACCUUCAGACCUAGAUCCAGUACAAUCCGAUGGGGAAUGCCCAGAGGACGAUUGGCUCGUUGGGCCAGCCGCCGGAGAGG
This 2298-nucleotide long non-coding RNA is filed under the name Triticum aestivum (bread wheat). RNAcentral's name for it is "long non-coding RNA (TAES_LNC028404)". Lineage: Eukaryota; Viridiplantae; Streptophyta; Magnoliopsida; Poales; Poaceae. The record is from RNAcentral.